This 454-nucleotide ribosomal RNA is filed under the name uncultured bacterium. Its description in RNAcentral is "bacterial SSU rRNA". It matches the Rfam family "Bacterial small subunit ribosomal RNA", at positions 340 to 786 of the family's 1533-position model. The record is from RNAcentral.
UACGGAAGGCAGCAGUGGGGAAUAUUGCACAAUGGGCGAAAGCCUGAUGCAGCUAUGCCGCGUGUAUGAAGAAGGCCUUAGGGUUGUAAAGUACUUUCAUCGGGGAGGAAAAACAAAACUAAUAAUUUUAUUUCUUGACGUUACCCGAAAAAGAAGCACCGGCUAACUCCGUGCCAGCAGCCGCGGUAAUACGGAGGGUGCUAGCGUUAAUCAGAAUUACUGGGCGUAAAGAGCACGUAGGUGGUUUUUUAAGUCAGAUGUGAAAUCCCUGGGCUUAACCUAGGAACUGCAUUUUGAAACUGAAAUACUAGAGUAUCGUAGAGGGAGGUAGAAUUCUAGGUGUAGCGGUGAAAUGCGUAGAUAUCUGGAGGAAUACCUGUGGCGAAAGCGGCCUCCUAAACGAAUACUGACACUGAGGUACGAAAGCGUGGGGAGCAAACAGGGAUUAGAUACC